Molecule: long non-coding RNA, 1925 nt
Organism: Passer montanus (Eurasian tree sparrow)
Lineage: Eukaryota; Metazoa; Chordata; Aves; Passeriformes; Passeridae
Exons: 3
Source: RefSeq, a predicted model, not a curated record
UCUGGCCUUCUUGGAAAGAAAUAACUUGUAGGAAGAUGAGUCAGUAAGCCUGUAUUGAAACAAACCCAGCAUUUGGUACCAGCACAGUGCUAUCAGCCACUUCUUUCAUCUUUUCAAGUUAAAAUUUGUCUGUUGUGACCAACAAUAAAUAUGCUGAAAUACAUAACAGGAGAAAUCUGCAGUGAGCCACUGUUGGAGACAGGUGCAAGCACUAAUGAUGAGAUGAAAGCAGUGUCAGCACAUUGGACUGGCCCCAGAAAAGGCCCCAUCUGGAGAUCCCAGGACUGCACCAGUCAGCACUUCUGGGAGGAACCAGCACAUGGCAUCAGUCAUCCCCAUUUACUACUUACUUCAACAAAAUUAAAUACUGCUCUUAGGACUCCUGUGCCUAUGUAGGAACCAGGUCUGCAAGUCUGGCUGGAGCUGAAUUUAUAAACCUUCACUUACUUAAAACUGAUGUUGACACAAAUAAAAACAGAAUAAAGAACCAAACCAUAUUUUGUCUGAAGGAGCAGUACCUCAAAAGUCACCAACAACAGAAUUUCAAAUUGCAUCAGCCACAUACCUUACCUGUUAUGAUACAAAGCAGAACAACAUGAUACAAAUCAGAAGUUGAAUGUAAUACAGCCCUGGGCUGCUUUGCUGUGUCCCCUCCCUGCCCAUCAUCCAACCUAUGUCUCCACAGGAAAGCGGCAGAACUCCUUGCACUGAUCAUGCCAUAUGGAAAUACUGAGGAAAAGCCGGGGAAAUUGCUGCACAGCCCACACAGCCCUUCCUGCUGAGACCAGGGCAUGUGAAUGCUGCUCCACCUCCCUGUUCAGGACAUGAUUCUCCAAGGUGUCAUUUCCCAGCUGAUGGUGGCCAGCUCCCCAUCACUGCAGCCUCUUGGCCUCUCUGGGGCUCUGAGCCUCCAGUGCCCUUACCCUGCAGGCAGCACCGGGGGGCUGCUGGCUGAAAGCAAAGGGCACAGUGCUGGUUGUCCUGCAGCUCCAGUGGUGACAUUCAUCCACUGCUGCUUGUGUUUCCUUCUGGGAUAUACUUAGGGUUUAUUCAAGGUUUGUCCUGAAAAUCAACACUUUUCCCUACCAAAGCAAGCUUCAAGGAUUAGAGACAUCCUGAAAUAAUGCAUAUUUUAUUCCUGAAGCAGAUGGGACUAUGCCUUUAAUGUGCCUCUUCAAACCCAGCUGUGCGUCCUGCUCUCUCUCCCUCCCCCCGCUCUGCUCUGACUGCCACACAUCUAUCCAAUGUGGGGAGUUCUCUUCAGCUUGUCACAGCUGGCUUGAUAAUGAAAGACAUUCAGAGAUUUACCAGGCCAUUUCUCCAUGUCAUACCACAGUGCUUUAACCUCAAUUUGUUCCAGGUGAUCUCAGGAAUCUGUGACCAAGUAACCCUCAGCUGCAGAUCAUCUGCCAGGUGGCAGCUGUUUAGGGCACUUCCAGUUCUUAAUUUAGUGGCCGAACCCACCAAGAAUUCAGAUUACACGAGUCAGGUAAAUGCCAAGAAUGCUUUCUAGGAUAUCUAUGAUGGGUUUCCUCUGUGCCAGCUCACAGAAGGUACUUCCUUAUAAUACACUCACUGUUUUUCAGCGCUAAGAUCCCAGAUUUCCUGAGAGAUGCUAGACAAACCUCACCCUUACCAGGGGUGUUGCUGGCCUGCACCUCCUUCCUGCUUUGGCUCGACUUUGCUCACAUGGCUUCACCCUUAUAAACAUCCCUUUACUUCAUAUGAGCCUUAGCAUAUGUCCUAUAUGUACUCAUCCCCUACAGCUGUACAGACAGAUUAUAAAAUAGAGUGUGAUGACUAGACCCUAUAAUGCAAAACUAAAUGUCCAAUUAGGACUUGAUAGAGAAAUGUGAAAUAAAACGCAUCAAACAGGACAAAAUAAUCAAUUUCCCAUUAAAUUGAGGUUACCUUUUUUUUUUCUG